This 2592-nucleotide long non-coding RNA is filed under the name Marmota monax (woodchuck). The record is from RNAcentral. Lineage: Eukaryota; Metazoa; Chordata; Mammalia; Rodentia; Sciuridae.
UAUCAUUGGUAUGGGGGGGGUGGCCAGCCUGGAGCGGGAGGCCAGGAGAGACUGAGCAGAAGCAGCCACACUGUUCCCAAGACUGCACAGUGGGGCUCUCUGCGGCCUCACAUCUCUUAUAAGUUAAAGUAAAUAUAUAAAUAAAUAACUCUCCAGAAAAUGGGCAAUGAAUCUUGAGGAGGGUGAGUUCACAUUGGAACCAGUUUUCACGGGUGUAAAUCAGAGACAGAAUGUUCUCUGACCUUUCAUCACUGAAUUCUUGCAUUUGGGGUUUGGGAAGAGAUUUUUGGAUUUUUAACUGCAACUUUUGAUAUUUUAAGAUUCCUGAUUUUCAUGUUGUUUGUGCAGGGGAACAAAAAUAGGCCCCAAGAAUACUAAACUGUGUUUUAGAUCUGUGCCCGGAGCCCUCCUGUCUCUUCAUGGCUGCAGUUAUUGAGGGUGUUUAAGGCCACUGAGGAGCCCAGACUUUAUUGAACCAAUUUCCACAAAACGUUUAUACCCUGAAAACUUUGCCAAUGGAAACUUUUUAAUAGAAACUCAUAUUGCAAGAGAGUUGUGGUGGUGUGUUAGUUAUUAUGUUCACUGUAGCCAGUGCCUUGGGUGGGGGGGGACACUGCAGGCCACAUUUUCACUCCUUGUAGUGUUCUGACCCUGAAGCAUGACAUGGUGAAAGGUUUGGGUGAGAAACCUGCCUUUUUAAUAUUUUAAAAAGGAUUUUGCCAGAGGAUACCCACAGCUUAAAAUGGCAAGACCUCUGUUUACAAGGUUGAUGGAAGACAGGAGCUCUUAUGGUCUAAAUUUCCAAGAAGAGGGAGGCUUUUUAAAGAGCCUUUGGAAUAGUCAGUGGCCGUGGCUUAAUUGGAACCUGAACUCAAGUGACUUGGCACUUUCUUGAAUGACUGUACAGAAGGCGGGCUGGUAGAUGCCCCAGGCACCUGCUCUCCUCCUACCUGGGCCUGCUGGAGUCCAUCAGUGUGUCCUUAAGCAGACCGACACAAGUUGGCACCCUCAGGCAGGACAGGUGCCAUCAGUGGACACACACUUACCAGGUGCUUCUGAGACACAGGCACCAUAACCUCACUCCCCGGCCCCAUGACGAGAGGCUGGUGCUCCCCACUGGGGUAGGAGGAAGCUGGGGGGGAGGCAGGCAGGUGGAGUGUGCCAGGUAAGUAGGGUCUGCAGGGAGGGCCUGGAAGAGAAGGUUGCGGGCAGAUGUUGACCAGACAGAGGGUGUUGGGAGGCUGUCUGCCUUCUCUGAGCCCCUCGGGUACCAGGAGCUUUCCAACAGAGACUCAUAUUAACAGAAGCUCAUGCUGCAUGAAGGUUGCUGUGGUCUGCUAGCUGCCAGUCCCGUGUGUGGAAGAACACUGCCGAACACUGUCAUGAGCACUUCCACGACCGACCGUACCCAGGGCUCUCCUGAGUGAGGUGUGAUCAAGGAGUGGGGCUCUCUGUCAGGGGAUGAAGCAGAGGUUCAGGGAGUGCCGACAGGAGCCGAGGACCUUCCACGUGGUCUUCUAGGGCAGGAAGGGACUCUCCACAGGCUGCAGUUUGAAGACCUUUGGCCUGGGCAAGACUUGAGGACGUCAUUGCUCACUCCGCCUUCGGGAGCCAGCUCUUGUCUGUGUCUCUGCUCCUCCUUCAGAGCCAGUGGGUGAGGGUCUGACUCCUCUACUGCUGCCUGUCCCCUGCCUUCCAGGCCGGUCCUCUCCAGCCUGAAACUGUUCUGCUGUUUGUGAUUCCACGGUCCCAAAGCCAGAGCCACUUUGGGAGGUGCUUGCCUUUUCACCACCAUCCCAGGUGGUCAGCAGCUUCCUCUGUCUCCAAUCACCCAUCUUUAGCCUCCACUCCAUUUUCCCACGGUUCUCUGGGUCUUACCACGGUUUAUCACACCUGGACUCUGCCUGGGCGGUCCCACCCACCCCAGUGGUAGGACGUGCUCGUGAUACACACCCUGUCCAGGUACGCGUGUCUGUGGCUGUCGGAGAGACAUCUCUGGCUCCAGGUGUCCCCACCUGAACUCUCCACUGUAGCUCCCACACGAAGUCACACGUCUGGCAUCCCUCCUCUCCCAGUAAAUGUCACCCCUACUCCCUGAGUUUCUCAGGCUCAAAUCUGCGUCACCCCAAGUGUUUCCCCACAUAUCCAGUCCAUCAGCCAACCCUACUGAUCCUAUCUGGGGGACACAGCUAGGAUCAGUCCACCACCUGCCCCAUCACCGUCACAGGCCGCAUCUCCCUCCCCACCUACGCCUGCAGGAGCUUCCUAACUGAACUUGCCCCCCAUUCUUGCCCCCCUCUGGUCUGUUUCCCACAGAGCAGGUGAUCUUACGUUAAAGCCUGUCUAAACUUUCUAGUGACUUUCUGUCACAAUGAAGGUAGAAUUCAGAAGUCUCUUCCCCACCGAGGUUCCCCAUCUAUGUCAGCCUUCUCCAGCUUUUCAAAGCCACCCACUUUGUCUGCUCAGAACUUUCCCACGGGCCGCUCUCUGCCUGAAGUACUCUUCCUGCUACCCUGUUCUAGCCGGUUCUUGCCCCAGCCACCCCUCCGAAGGCGGUUCCUGGUUGCAGUUUCAGCAGGGUCCUCUGUUCUU